RNAcentral lists this long non-coding RNA (3173 nucleotides) under Sus scrofa (pig). RNAcentral describes it as "lncRNA (ENSSSCG00055029252.1)". The record is from RNAcentral. Lineage: Eukaryota; Metazoa; Chordata; Mammalia; Artiodactyla; Suidae.
CUUGCAAAUACUUCCUAAAAUGUGACCAGCUUAUACAAAUGCACACGCUGGCCUUGAUUCCCCAAAGUCGAUCCCAAAGCACACAUCAGGUUUUAAACAUGCUCCUAUAGCCUUUUCAGAUAUUUAGUGAAAAUGAGCAUUAGGAUGCAUGAUAUUUUAAUAGUAGUGCUAGUACAGUAAUGUUGUAGACAAAAUAAUUAUCUAAAAUACUGAAAAUUUGAAAUUAAUAUUUUAAAAAUCAGUAAGUCAACUGAUUUCUUAUCCAGGAAAUGGAGGGCAGGAUUUAGAUAAGGUAAGAAGAGAGAAGAGAUUUCUUUAAUCUGAACCUUGGACAAGCUACUCAGAGUAUCGCUCUGACUGCCAAAAAAAAAAAAAAAAAAAAAAGGAAAGAAAAAAGAGCAAAAGAAAAAAGAGUUUCCAGAUAAGACAUACUUACAUACUUCCUAAUGUAUUAUUGGACUUGAGAAAGAAUUUUGCACAUCUCCAAAGGUUUCUUUCCCCUCACCUCAAAACCUAAAAGCUUAAAAGUGUGAGCAGAAAGUGGAGAUGUUAAACAGUAAACGUGGGAAUGGCGAAAUUGAAUGGGAUGAGCUGUGUUGCAAGAAUGCUAUUGGAAGGAUAGCAGUCAUAUGCUCUGUGAGACUUCUCAUACACCUCACCUUAUUAAAAGAACAGGAAUAAGUCACAACCAUAUUUAUAGACCCACUUUUUUGGUCUUCUUUGAUGUCUUUAGGUGACUUAGAUUAGGUAGUCAAGUACUUGUAUACUGUCAGAUUUUUCAGAGAGAAAUCCAUCCUUGCUUAAAAGCUAGUGUUUUGUGUAGUCCUCCAUUAAGGAAAUUCUGCAAAUCAGCCUUCAAUAUCCUCAUAAAAUAUUAUCUCUGAUAUCUCUGUGUCUGAGAAAUUGUUUUAAUGCAGAAACAUAGACUGUGGCCUCUGAGUCUUUAAAUCACUUAUGUGUUUACUUAUGUAUUUUUACUUUUACUUAUGGGUUUGUUACCUGAAAAUUCUGAACAUAUUUAAAAGUAGAGAGUGAUAGGAACUUGUAUGCAAUUAUACUUACCUUCAACAGCUAUCAUCUUAUGAUUUUUUUGCGGGGAAUUCUUUUUUAUUGAAGUGUAGUUGAUUUACAAUGUUGUAUUAUAUUCAGGUGCACAGCAAAGCGAUUCAGUUAUAUAUAUGUGUGUGUGCAUAUAUGUAUAUAUAUGUUUAUACAUGUAUAUAUGUUUUCAGAUUCUUUUUAUUAUGGGUUAGUAUAAGAUGUUGAGUAGAGCUCCAUGUGUUGUAAAGUAGGGUCUUGUUGGUUAUCUACUUAAUACAUUGCAGUAUGUGUAUCUUAAUCCCAAAUUAGUAAUUUAUCCCUCCCUACCACUUUCUCCUUUGGUAACCAUAAGUUUGUUUACUAUGUCUGUGAGUUCAUUUGUAUUUUGUAAAUAAAUCCAUUUGUAUCAUAUUUUUUCAGAUUCUACAUAUAAGCAAUAUCAUGAUAUUUGUCCUUCUCUGUCUGGCUUAUUUCACUUAGUGGGGUAAUCUCUAGGUUUGUCCAUGUUGCUGCAAAUGGAAUUAUUUCAUUCUUUUUUAUGGCUAAGUAAUAUUCUAUUGUGGAUAUAUGUGCCACAUCUGCAUCCAUUCAUCUGUCGAUGGACAUAUAGGUUGCUUCCGUGUCUUGGAUAUCGUUAAGUAGUGCUGCUGUGAACAUUUGGGUGCAUGUGUCUUUUGGAAUUAUAAUUUUCUUGGAAUAUAUACCCAGGAGUGGAAAUGCUGAAUUGUAUGGUAACUCUACUUUUAGUUUUUAAAGGAAUAUCUGUACUGUUCUCCAUAGUAACUGCACCAAUUUACAUUCCCAUCAACAGUGUAGUAAGUUCCUUUUUCUCCAUACCCUCUCCAGAAUUUAUUAUUUAGACUUAUUAAUGAUGGCCAUUCUGACUGGUUUGGCAUGAUACCUCAUUGUCAUUUCGAUUUGCAUUUCCCUAAUAAUUAGCAGUGUUGAGCAUAAGACUUUUUUAAUUGAAGAAAUGAACCACAUCUGAAAAAAUAAACCAAACCAUACCUAGAAAGUCAGUAUUUCUUUAUCGUUAUCAAAUAUGUACAAUCAGUAUUCAAGUUUUCUCAAUUGUCUCAAAAUUUUUUAUAAUUUUUUUACUUUUUUGAAAUAGAAUACAUAUGAUUCAUACAUUGCAAUUCAUGAUAUUUCUCUUCUCUUUUAAUCUAUGUUUCACCUCUGUUUAUUUUUCCUUAUUUGUGGAAAAAGCUGGAUUGUGCUGGUAGAGCUUUCCAUAGUUUGUAUUUGCUCAUGCAUUCCUGUAGAGUUGUUUAAGAAGCUCCUCUGUACCAUGUCUUUCCUAUUCACUGGUGAUUAAGACUCUGAACUUGCUAGAUUCAUUUGGAGAAGGCUGGGCAGGACUACUGGUUCUCUCUCUAUCUGAGAUGUUAGCAGGUAUUGAUCAUUGGUUAGCUCCUUUUAUUCCAUAAGGAAUACCCAGCCUUGGAAAGUUUCCUCACACAUUGGCCAAGAUCAGUACUCUGCUAAAUUCCUGAGUGGGACUCUCUGCAGAUCUCAGGAGACCUUUAUCUGUGCAGCAGCCCUGUUCACAUGCUCUGACUUGUGAACUGUAACCACCUUGUUCUCCCAUGCCUUCAGUUCUGCUUCUGCAACUUGGGGAAUUUGUGUUCCUUGAGUUAUCUGCCCUGUGCCACUGCCAAGAAACCCUUAAGACAGUAAGCAGGCAAUCAUGAUUCACCUCCUUGGUUUCUUAUCUCUCGGAGAUCACUGUUCUACAUUGCCUGAUGUCCUAUGUCUUAAAAAUCAUUAUUUUGUAUAUUUUUCCAGAGUUUGGUUGUUGCUGUUUUGAAAAAGAGGGUACAUCUAACCCCUCUCAGUCUAUCUUGGUUGGAUGGGAAGUCUCUCAAAUUGUUUCAUUAAAAAAGUUUUUGGAGUUCCCGUCGUGGCUCAGUGGUUAACGAAUCCAACUAGGAACCAUGAGGUUGUGGGUUCGAUCCCUGGCCUUGCUCAGUGGGUUAGGGAUCCGGCGUUGCUGUGAGCUGUGGUGUACGUUGCAGACGUGGCUCGGAUCCAGCGUUGCUGUGGUUCUGGCGUAGACCGGAGGCUACAGCUCCGAUGAGACCCCUAGCCUGGGAACCUCCAUAUGCCAUGGGAGCGGCCCAAGAAAUGGC